RNAcentral lists this long non-coding RNA (2045 nucleotides) under Homo sapiens (human). Its description in RNAcentral is "non-protein coding lnc-HSPB1-1:1". The record is from RNAcentral. Lineage: Eukaryota; Metazoa; Chordata; Mammalia; Primates; Hominidae.
CUACUGUCAUACAGGCUGGCGUGCAGUAGUGGGAUCUUGGUGCACCAUACCAAAGUGUUGCAGCCUGGAACUCCUAGGCUCAAGGCAUCUCCAGGAGCGCGCCACAAGCCUGGCUGAUUUUUUUUUUUUUUUUGGUAGACAGAGUCUCGCUAUGUUGCCCAGGCUGGUCUCAAACUCCUGAGCUCAAGCCAUCCUCCUGCGUUGACCUCCCAAAGUGCUGGGAUUACAGGGGAGAGCUGCUGCGCCCAGCCCAGUCUACUCCCUCGAGUUCCCUGUCCAGAGACCCACAUCUGGAGCAGGGUGGGGAGUCAGAGCAGGUCCCAGCCCACGCUCUAGGGCUCAGCUCAGAUGAUGUGAGCCUGGGGCAGCACCUCUGGGCAUAGUGGGCUCUGGCUGGCAGGACAGGACAGGCUGGCCCAGAUCUGGGGGUCUCUGCUGGGUGUUAGAUUUGUGGAGUCUUUGUGCUGCUUCUGGGGUGGUGGGGCAAUUCUGGGCCUCUCCAGGCCUGUCCUGCCUUUUCUUUUUUUUUUUAGAUGGAGUCUCACUCUGUCAGCCAGGCUGGAGUGCAAUGGCAUGAUCUCAGCUCACUGCAAGCUCCGCCUCCCGGGUACAAGCGAUUCUCAGGCCUCAGCCUCCUAAGUGGGAUUACAGGCACCUGUCACCACGCCUGGCUAAUUUUUGUAUUUUUAGUAGAGUCAGGCUUCCUCCAUGUUGGCCAUGCUGGUCUCAAAUUCUGAAAGAGGAGAAUUGCCUGAACCUAGGAGGUGGAGGCUGCAGCGAGCUGAGAUUGCACCACUGCACUCCAGCCUGGGCAACAAAGUGAGACUCGGUCUCAAACAAACAAAAAGGCAGGACAGGCCUGGAACUGCCCCUCCCCCCCAGGACGGGUGUUGUCUAGGGCUUGCUGACCUCACAGUCUGUGAGAUCAGGCAGCCCCGGGCCUUGGCUGCCCAGGAGUGAAUUAUUUCCAGGCGCCAUCAUCACUCCGACUAUAGAAUCAACAGGAUUUGACAGGUGCAGCUUUCGACUGCUCUGUUGAGAGGGUGGAGACAGAAGCAAAAGCUGCCCACAGAAAGGCGACAGGGAACCCCAGAGCUAGGUCCCAAGAGCCUCUUGGUGAUGGAGGAGAGCCACCAAGGGACAGGAGGGUUGGGGGAACUGGAGCUCCGGCCCAGGGACAGAGCCCCAAACCACCUCCAGCCCAGGCACAGAGCCCCAGACCACCGAAGCCCUAUGCCACCAUGGCAGAGCCCAGGGCAGGGCAGGGGUCAGGCUGGCCCCCCCAAACACCUCCCCACCAUUCCCACAUGCAUACACCAGGACCUGGGGGGUUGCAACAGUGCCAGAGGUCACGGGUUGGCAGGGGAGGGAGAGGAGGAAGAAAGCAGAAGAGCAGAGGGAUGCGGGUGAGGCUGGGCUUGUCUCAGACAGUCUGGCACUAGCCCUCAAAGCUCAGAAUCCCUGAUAUGGGGGCUAAGCCCCACUGCCAUACUGCCCCUCCCAGGGAAAUUGCCCCCCAGGGAAUAUGGGGGGAACCUCUGAGUGUAGCUCCCCUGGGGCCUGGAGGGCAUAUCAAGACAUGGGGGAUAGUGAACAGCAUCAUAGCUCUAAGUGUCCCUGAUCUGGCUGGGCGUGGUGGCUCACCCCUGUAAUCGCAGCACUUUGGGAGGCUGAAGGGGGCAGAUUAGCUGAGGUCAGGAAUUCAAGACCAGCCUGGCCAACAUGGCAAAACCCGUCUCUACUAAAAAUACAAAAAUUAGCCGGGUGUGGUGGCGCACGCCUGUAAUCCCAGCUACUCAAGAGGUUGCAGUGAGCUGAGAUCAGGCCACUGCACUCCAGCCUGGGCAACAGAGCAAAACUUUCAGGAAAAAAAAAAAGUGUCCCUGAUCUGUAAAUGUGUAGUGGAAACUAUAGAAAGGCACUGCAGGCUGGGCGCAGGGGCUCACACCUGUAAUCCCAGCACCUUGGGGGGCCUAGGCAGGAGAUUUACUUGACACCAGGAGUUAGAGAGCAGCCUGGGCAACAUAGCAAGAACUCAUCCCUGC